AGUGGAAAAUACCCUUCCCCCGUGCAAAAUACCCCAAAUCGAACCCAACCCUAACCUGUGCCUGCUGUCGCCGCCGUCACGCUCGAUCCAAUCCUGUGCCACCAUCACCGCCGGCCUCGCGCUCCACCCAGUCCUCAAUCCCCCGUCCCGGAGCUCGCACUCCCCCGCCGCCGGCCUCACACUCCACCCCGUCCUCAAUCCGCCGUACUCAAUCCCCUGAGCUCCAGACCUAUAUCGAGGCGCCGUCCUCGCGCUGUCCAUCCAGUCGCUGUCCGCGCACAACCCCCUCCCCCAACGUCCAGCCGACGUCAUCGUCAAUCCCCGUCCUGUGGCUGCCGGGAUCCAUCUCUGGGCUCCCACUGCUUCCGCACCUGCUACUGCGGGGCUCCAUAUCUGGGCUCUUGCUGCCGCCGGAGCUCCAUCUUCGGGCUGCCGCUGCUGUCGGCCCUGCUACUGUUUGACUUCUGCCCUCUGCUGCUGGGCUCCAUCUCCAGGCUCAUGAGAUCCGUCCCCAAGAUCCGUCCGUCCACCGCCCCCAACCCCAAUCCCAUUCCACGUCCCCGAGUCCCCGACCCCAUCCCUUACUCCCUUCCUUGGAGUCACAGCCUCCGACAACUCCGUCCAUCAUCGCCUUGCACCUCGGGCUGGAGGGAGUGGGUGUUACUAGAUCUCACGACACUGCAUCUGUUGUUGACAAAAUGCACCACUUGUGGCUGCUAUGUUUUCUCCCUCAUACAUGGCAUCAAUGGUGUGUCUGCCUGAUCCUGCAACAAGUGUUCACUCUUUGAUGAGUCUUCUAAUCUGCAAUUUAUGCCUGGUCCAUCUUCAUGCUACACAUGGUACUUUGACAUGGCCAUCAGCCUGACAGGAAUCCACUCCAAUUUUUUUAAAGCUUGCUAGGUUGCCAGACGAUGGGUGCUGAAAUUUCUUAUAUCUCAUAAAUUUGGAAGUCUUGAGAAGGUAAUGAUGCUUCCCUCAUUUGUACUCCCUCUGUAAACUUUCAUAAGACCGCUCUCUAAAGCGGGCGUAGUAUUUUGAAUAUUUGUCAGCUAGCCCGCUAUCUUUACUUGCCCUCCCCAAUUAUAUUUCUGCAAUGAUUGGCCAUUUAUCUCAUACAUACUAUCAACCAGAUCAUGCAGUUGUUCCAAUAUUCAUGAAAAUGCCCCUUUUAGCAGAUAGUAACUCAAGUAUAUAGAAGAUACAAGUAACCAAAGGGAGUUUUGGUUUCAGGUGUCGAUCCUCCUUUUUCCGUACUUGCUGGUAGCAUUUUCCUUUUUUUGGUUUCAUAUGGCAUCUAUCUUAUAUUUCUGGCAGCAGUUAAAUUGAACUGGAGGCAGAAAACAAACUUGAUACACUAUAAAUGUGUUUCUAGAUUGUACCAACUCGUCGUUUUUUGUGUAUUGAAAAUAUCUUCUUAGAGUCAGAAUCACCAUUUGAUGCACUAAUACUUGCAUCGCUUCCACUUUAGUACAUUAUUUGCUAUCACAUAUAUUAAUAUAGUUGACGAAAUCUUCUAGUUAAUGCUAACAUGUCUGCUUAAAAUGGGAAAGAUGGCUAAUUUGUGGGUUGAGCAUAUUUAUAACUAAUUAUAGCCUAUCAAUCCCAUUCUGAUUGUAAGCAGUAGGAAGAUACAAGAAGUUCAACCAUAAUAAUGAUGAUCUAGUUCAAGAAUAAGGCAGUACUUAAAUCUUAAUAAUGUUCGUACAUGGUACUUUUGUGAGAUAUUCGUGUUUGUUCUGGUGAUGGACUAAUAUUACCUGAAAAUCCUUUGUGCAUUUGAAAAGUUCAUACAAUAAACUUACCAAGGACAUAACUUGCAGUCCCUUGGCUUACUUUCUAAUUUGAUUUAGGAUCAGCCGAGUUAUCUAUAUUAUUAAACAUAGUUUUCGUCUUCAUAGGGUGGUUGAUACAUGUCUUCACACUUUUCAGAGCAACGUGCGGUGGAAGAAGCAGCCUAUGAACUAAAAUAGUUUGCAUAAGAAACAUGCGAUGCGAGUACUCAACCAUCUACUGCGCAUGGAUGUGAUACUUCGGACUGUUCGACAGCAUUUGGCUGUUUGCAGUAUUUUGGACCAGCUAACUUGCGAUCAUGAAUCUUAUGUCUGUUCUGGACCAUUUGGUGCUUCAACUGAUUUGGAGCAUAUAUCUUGUGCUUAUGGGUGUGACUUUGUUCUGGACCAUUUAGUGUUUGAACUCCUUUAGAACAACAAAUAGUGGUCCUUUUAUGUGGCUUGUGUUUUGUAGAUGGUGGUCCAAAUGGCCAAACUUUGCUUUGUCAAGAUUGUCCUGUUUUUGAACUUAUGAUCAAUACAUGUAUGUUUUUGAACAUAUUA
This is a long non-coding RNA of Triticum aestivum (bread wheat), 2333 nucleotides long. RefSeq lists it as uncharacterized. The record is from RefSeq and is a predicted model, not a curated record. NCBI's taxonomy places the organism in Eukaryota, Viridiplantae, Streptophyta, Magnoliopsida, Poales, Poaceae. The transcript has 3 exons.